Molecule: non-coding RNA, 28 nt
Filed under: Rattus norvegicus (Norway rat)
Lineage: Eukaryota; Metazoa; Chordata; Mammalia; Rodentia; Muridae
Source: RNAcentral
UCCACACACCGCAGAACAUUCCUCAUCU